This 293-nucleotide ribosomal RNA is filed under the name Clostridioides difficile. RNAcentral describes it as "partial 23S ribosomal RNA". It matches the Rfam family "Bacterial large subunit ribosomal RNA", at positions 1871 to 2163 of the family's 2925-position model. Lineage: Bacteria; Bacillati; Bacillota; Clostridia; Peptostreptococcales; Peptostreptococcaceae. The record is from RNAcentral.
GGAAGGUUAAGGGGAGCUGUGAUAGCAAUCGAAGAAGUGAACUUAAGCGCCAUACAACGGCGGCCGUAACUAUAACGGUCCUAAGGUAGCGAAAUUCCUUGUCGGGUCAGUUCCGACCCGAACGAAAGUCGUAACGAUUUGGGCACUGUCUCAACAACAGACCCGGUGAAAUUGUACAUCCUGUGAAGAGUCCGGAUACCAGCGAGAGGACGUAAAGUCCCCAUGGUGCGUUACUGUAGCUUGACAUGGUGUCUUGGUACUACAUGUACAGGAUAGGUGGGAGGCUUUGAAAC